This 273-nucleotide ribosomal RNA is filed under the name uncultured bacterium. RNAcentral's name for it is "partial 16S ribosomal RNA". It matches the Rfam family "Bacterial small subunit ribosomal RNA", at positions 523 to 796 of the family's 1533-position model. The record is from RNAcentral.
AUACGGAGGGUGCAAGCGUUAAUCGGAAUUACUGGGCGUAAAGCGCGCGUAGGCGGUUUAGUCAGUCGGAUGUGAAAGCCCAGGGCUCAACUUGGAAUUGCAUUCGAUACUGCUUGACUAGAGUAUGGUAGAGGGAAGUGGAAUUUCCGGUGUAGCGGUGAAAUGCGUAGAUAUCGGAAGGAACACCAGUGGCGAAGGCGACUUCCUGGGCCAAUACUGACGCUGAGGUGCGAAAGCGUGGGGAGCAAACAGGAUUAGAAACCCCAGUAGUCC